This 254-nucleotide ribosomal RNA is filed under the name uncultured bacterium. Its description in RNAcentral is "partial 16S ribosomal RNA". It matches the Rfam family "Bacterial small subunit ribosomal RNA", at positions 524 to 776 of the family's 1533-position model. The record is from RNAcentral.
UACGGGGGGAGCAAGCGUUGUUCGGAUUUACUGGGCGUAAAGGGCGCGUAGGCGGUCAGCACAGGUCCGUUGUGAAAUCUCCGGGCUUAACUCGGAAAGGUCAACUGAUACUGUGCGACUAGAGUGCAGAAGGGGCAACUGGAAUUCUCGGUGUAGCGGUGAAAUGCGUAGAUAUCGAGAGGAACACCUGCGGCGAAGGCGGGUUGCUGGGCUGACACUGACGCUGAUGCGCGAAAGCCAGGGGAGCGAACGGG